CUUGGUCAUUUAGAGGAAGUAAAAGUCGUAACAAGGUUUCCGUAGGUGAACCUGCGGAAGGAUCAUUAUUGAUUUUUAAAGAUGUGCUGGCACUCCUUCACCGGUUUGCAUGUGCACUCUGCAAAAUCUCCUUCUCUUACCCCACUGUGCACACCCAAGUAGACAAACAGAGUUACAGAGCAAUCUGUGUAAUUCCUGAUUUGCCUAUGUUUUUAUCAAACACCAAUAACAAUAUCAGAAUGAUCUAUAUAGUAAGCUUUUAACAAGCUGAAAUUUAAUACAACUUUCAACAAUGGAUCUCUUGGUUCUCGCAUCGAUGAAGAACGCAGCGAAUUGCGAUAUGUAAUGUGAAUUGCAGAAUUCAGUGAAUCAUCGAAUCUUUGAACGCACCUUGCACCCUCUGGCAUUCCGGAGGGUAUGCCUGUUUGAGUGUCAUUAAUCUCUCAACGCAAGAAACUUUGUCUUCUUGUGCUUGGAUAUUGAAGGUUUUGCUGGCGCAAACAACUGUCAGCUCCUUUUAAAUGUAUUAGCAGAGCAGUAUAGGACUGGCCUCGGUUUGAUAAGAAACUUUAUCUAUGCUGUCGCUGGGUUUUCCUCUUUGUGCUCAGCUUCAAAUUGUCUUCGGACUGUCUCUUGAGGCAACAAAAUCUCUAUUGAUCGACCUCAAAUCAGGUAGGACUACCCGCUGAACUUAAGCAUAUCAAUAAGCGGAGGA
Molecule: ribosomal RNA, 715 nt
Filed under: uncultured Clavaria
Lineage: Eukaryota; Fungi; Basidiomycota; Agaricomycetes; Agaricales; Clavariaceae
Description: eukaryotic LSU rRNA
Rfam family: 5.8S ribosomal RNA (bases 282-435)
Source: RNAcentral